Molecule: long non-coding RNA, 2854 nt
Filed under: Aquilegia coerulea
Lineage: Eukaryota; Viridiplantae; Streptophyta; Magnoliopsida; Ranunculales; Ranunculaceae
Description: long non-coding RNA (ACOE_LNC001696)
Source: RNAcentral
UUGUUCUUGUUUGAAUUUGAUUCAGCAAGAUGGUGUUAGGAAUUAGGUUUAUCCAAAAACACGCAUACAUCUCAAGACUAAAGUAGGUUCAGUUGAUCAUGAGGCAACUUCCAUGUGGACAGAUUUAGAGUAUACUAAUUAAGGUCAAACAACUUAAUCAGAUAAUAUACUACUGACAGUCGGAUACAUCGCAUACACUGUCAACUGCAGUGGUUACAGUAUGAUAGAGUAUUUGCAUGUACAACUCGCUACAAGGUCACUAGACAUAAGAUAACUUCUGCAGAAAAUUUGACUACGUGUUCAGUUUAAGGGAAGGGUAGUUAUGCAACUCGCAGAAAUGUUGACUCCACAGAACUCAAUGAAACAGCAAUUAUUCGUAUCGAAGACCUGCCUGGUAUUGCUGGAACUUGGUUGAAGCCAUACGAGACGUCCCAAAGCAUUGUGUUUGAUCUUGUUUAUAAAGAAACAGAACGGUUAGCUGCUCACGGCUCACCUUGCUGCUUUAUCAACACCUGAGGAUUCUAAAACUCUGUAUUUCGCGCUCAACACCAGUUCAUUUUUCGCUGACCAUGAAAAUAUUUACAUUGUUUGGUCGAUCGCUUACUGCUUUACCUGUUCAAAGUUCAUUUGAAUCUUCAGCCACUAGUGGUUCAAAAUGGAACAAAUGUCUGCUAUAAAAUAGUUAUACCACAAAUUUCAGAUCAGAGGAUAAUUAGGAGGUUAAUAACCAACUAAAACACUCCCUAAAUAUAGCAAAACUAUCUCUUCCAUUCAGUAUUAAAGUACUAACUCUAUCUUCAUCAAAAAGUAAUAGAACAUUGUAUCUGCACGAACUUCUGCGUCUCCUUGUAACAUCGAAGAGACGCAGAUUUCUUGAGUUUCUCGUUCACUUUUUGUCUUUGUUCUAGUUCUAGUAAAUCAGAACAAUGGCACCAAGUGAAGAUCGAAUUGAAGAAACUGCGUCAAAGAUGGAGGAAGGUAGCACCUCUCAAAAAUAUGAGGAGGAAGAGUCAGAUUAUUGUUCUUCUAAAGCGGCCAUAAGAUUUUCACAAAAGGUAAUUUUGUAACGAAACAUACUGUAAAGUCCUUUUGUGUACAAAAAGUUCCUUCUGCAAGUUUAUACAUCAAUAUGUUCUAUAGAAAAUGGUAGAUCAGAUCUUAAGCAUUUCUUCCUGUUUUUGUAGGUAAUGGCAGAGGUGUUUGGGACCUUUUUUCUAAUUUUCGCCGGAUGUGGAUCAGUAGCCAUUAACAAGAUAUACGGAGGACAAAUCACAUUCCCUGGAAUCUGUGUAGUAUGGGGCCUGGCUGUUAUGGUCAUGGUAUAUGCUGUAGGUCAUAUCUCAGGUGCUCAUUUCAAUCCGGCCGUCACCAUGGCUAUGGCAUUAUUUCGACAAUUUUCACCAAAGGAGGUGCGUCUUUUGAGUAUAUACAUAUGUUUGCAAAUCAAACCCAGCAGUUACGUAGAAUCUAAAUAUAUUCAUUGUUCUGGGAUCUUAAUGUAAAUAUUUAAUUUGUUUUAUUGCAGGUAAUUCCUUAUAUUGUAGCCCAGCUACUGGGAUCUUGUCUUGCUAGUGGCACGUUGGUCCUUGUAUUUGACAUAGAAAUGGAGGACUUUUUUGGAACCAUUCCAGUAGGACCCAGUCUGCGGUCUUUUAUCCUCGAGAUCAUCAUCACAUUUUUCUUGAUGUUUGUCAUCUCAGGCGUUGCUACUGAUAGUAGAGCGGUACACAACUCUAUACCACACACUCAAGUCCUUUUUCCAUGAAAUGUUCGAUGAAAACGAUUUUUUAACUAUGCUAUAUUAUCAUUUUGCAGAUUGGAGAAUUGGCAGGAAUAGCUGUGGGAAUGACAAUUAUGGUAAAUGUGUUUAUUGCAGGGUAAUUAUUCGUGCUCAUACUUUCUUAAAUGGCCACUCUUCGUCGUUGAAAUUUUUUACCCUAUUCUUUCGUAAAUGGCCACGUUGAUUUAUCUAAAAUGUAGAAAACCUAAUCAGUCGUAAUCUAUUGCAGACCUGUUUCUGGAGCAUCUAUGAACCCUGCGAGAAGUCUUGGGCCAGCAAUUGUAAUGCAUCAUUAUAAAGGAAUAUGGGUUUACAUUGCUGGACCAAUCAUUGGCGCAAUUGCAGGUGCUUUUGCUUACAAUCUAAUCAGGUUUACAGACAAGCCUCUCCGUGAAUUGACGAAGAGUGGAUCUUUCAUUAGCAGCAUGUCAAGAAGAGUUGCUCACUAGACAUGUAUAUAGAAGUGAUCCAUAGCCUGUAUACUUGGUUUUUUUCAUCUUUGUGUAUAGAAGGCAGAUUGUGUAGGUUUUACCACAGACAAAGGUUCUAAUCCAACACCAUUAACUAGCCUGGGGAGAAUGAACGUAGCGACAAAAAUGUGAAGAGUUCUUGUAAUUUUUCUAGUAACCUUCAUUUUGUUGAAUAUUAAAAUUUACGGUUGGUUGCAAAUUCUGAUUGGUAUAUUCUUCAAAAAAAAUUUCUUUUUCUCUCUUUUUCCUUAUGAAUUAUGACAUUACACAUAUAACAUUUCGUGGACGCAAUUUGACUAAAAUGUGUUUAUAUAAGUUUAUAUGAUAGGGAAAAAUUAAACUGAAUAUGAUGUAUCGUGCUAUACUGGUAAAUCUACUGAUAGUUGCAGAACAAAAUAUUACCUUGUAUGCGUAACACCUCCUUCCUGGACCUAUGUGGUGGAUGGAUGCCUUCUGCGAGAUAAUAACCGGUAAAUUAAUUUAUGGAAUUGCGACUACUAGUUCUCAUGCAUGCUGCAAAUAACCAGGCUGAAUUUCAGCAAAAUGAAACUAAAUGCAGGACUUUCCAGUUCAAGAGAAGACGAGUUCAUCUGGACCCAGCAAC